Molecule: ribosomal RNA, 426 nt
Filed under: uncultured bacterium
Lineage: Bacteria
Description: bacterial SSU rRNA
Rfam family: Bacterial small subunit ribosomal RNA
Source: RNAcentral
GGGGGAAUAUUGGGGCAAUGGGGGGAAACCCUGACCCAGCAACGCCGCGUGGAGGAAGAAGGUUUUCGGAUCGUAAACUCCUGUCCUCAGGGAAGAGGAGAAGACGGUACCUGAGGAGGAAGCCCCGGCUAACUACGUGCCAGCAGCCGCGGUAAUACGUAGGGGGCAAGCGUUGUCCGGAAUGAUUGGGCGUAAAGGGCGCGUAGGCGGCUCGGUAAGUCUGGAGUGAAAGUCCUGCCUUCAAGGUGGGAAUUGCUUUGGAUACUGUCGGGCUUGAGUGCAGGAGAGGUAAGUGGAAUUCCCAGUGUAGCGGUGAAAUGCGUAGAGAUUGGGAGGAACACCAGUGGCGAAGGCGACUUACUGGGCACCAACUGACGCUGAGGCUCGAAAGCAUGGGUAGCAAACAGGAUUAGAUACCCUGGUAGU